RNAcentral lists this ribosomal RNA (545 nucleotides) under uncultured bacterium. Its description in RNAcentral is "bacterial SSU rRNA". It matches the Rfam family "Bacterial small subunit ribosomal RNA", at positions 777 to 1320 of the family's 1533-position model. The record is from RNAcentral.
AAUAGAUACCCCGGUAGUCCACGCCGUAAACGAUGAGUGCUAAGUGUUAGGGGGUUUCCGCCCCUUAGUGCUGCAGCUAACGCAUUAAGCACUCCGCCUGGGGAGUACGGUCGCAAGACUGAAACUCAAAGGAAUUGACGGGGGCCCGCACAAGCGGUGGAGCAUGUGGUUUAAUUCGAAGCAACGCGAAGAACCUUACCAGGUCUUGACAUCCCAUUGACCACUAUGGAGACAUAGUUUUCCCUUCGGGGACAACGGUGACAGGUGGUGCAUGGUUGUCGUCAGCUCGUGUCGUGAGAUGUUGGGUUAAGUCCCGCAACGAGCGCAACCCUUGUUCUUAGUUGCCAUCAUUUAGUUGGGCACUCUAAGGAGACUGCCGGUGACAAACCGGAGGAAGGUGGGGAUGACGUCAAAUCAUCAUGCCCCUUAUGACCUGGGCUACACACGUGCUACAAUGGACGGUACAAACGGUUGCCAACCCGCGAGGGGGAGCUAAUCCGAUAAAACCGUUCUCAGUUCGGAUUGUAGGCUGCAACUCGCCUACA